UAGAAAUCAAGUUUCUAUGCAAAUGGCAGG
This 30-nucleotide non-coding RNA is filed under the name Mus musculus (house mouse). The record is from RNAcentral. Lineage: Eukaryota; Metazoa; Chordata; Mammalia; Rodentia; Muridae.